GAUCGAAGCAAAAUGUUUCCGCCGAUCCAUGGCGUUUUUUCUCACCAAACGCUUACCUAGCCCCGCGCUGUACCCGCCUAGCAGCUUCCCCUCCUCGCGGCAAUCACGCUCAUCUUCCAUUCCCGCCGGAGAUCACGCACGCCGCCCGCCCAUGAGCGUGAACCCGUCCCCUCCGCCCUCUCCGAUCCAAUCCACAAUUUUAAACCACACCCCCUUCUUCUUACCUUUCCGGCGGGCUGCGGCGCACUCGCCUCCUCCCCUCCCCCCUCGACACCUCGAGAACCCCUUCCCUAGCGGCGGCGCACCGGCAGCGCCCUCUCCUUCACCCGGCGCCACCUUCUCUGCUUCUCUCCCUCCGCACGGCUUGGAGCCAACAUGGGACCGGAGCGGCUCGCGCACGUGCGCGGGCGGAGGCCGAGGCGCGGCGUGGGGAGGAGGAGCGGGCGGGCCGUCGACGCGGAUCUGGCGGCGGGCGGGCCUUCCGUGGCGGCGUACGGGAGGGCAAGUCGCGUGCGCGCACCCGGCGACGCGUGCGGCCACGUACGGGGGUCGGUGCGCGGGACCCGCGGCAAGCGAGGCUGCGCGCACGGGGCGCGUGGCAGCAGGACGCGGGAGGAGGUGCAGACCUGCUCGCGGGCGUGCAGGCGCGGGAGCUGCUGCGAGCUGCAGGAGCCAAGCAGUAGGACUGCUGCGGCGGAGCAGAGGCGACUCGCGUCCGUGCAGGCGGGGCACGCACGCAGGAAGCAGGCGUGCAGCAGUAGCUACGCGUUGGAGCUCGCUAGCGCAGGGGCCCGACGAGGACCAGCCUCCGCCGGUCACGCGCAUGGAGGCGCCGCCGUGUUCAUCUUCUUCCUCGAUGCCCGUUGCCCAAGCGGGGUGCGCUGGCGGCGCGACCCACAGCACGACGCACGAGGGGAUGCGCUUCGGCGAGGAGCGGCUGUGGCGGCAGCAUUCGUGCUGCCGGAGGCGCUACUCGGCAAUUCCGACCCCUGACGGCCCGUAGUGCUGGGGCAACACCACUGGAAUCCUCACCUCACCGGCCUAACCCAGUGUUUGCAUUGAAGCGUUGAUGCCGACAUGCCGUGGUACUUUUGUAUUAAAAAUGAGAUUGGAGUUGUGGACAGACCUGCGGGCUAUAUCAGUGUUUGAGCUGAUGCAAAAUGAAAUGGAUGCAAGUGUUGUGGACGUAGCUAUUGGCUACCGUGGAUAGAAUCUGCAGGCUGCCAUGACUACUGAACCGCUUUUCAUGUAGAAUAGGGGGAGUUCAUUAUUGAUAUAUUUGAUCACCCUACAGCUCUGCCUUUGCACCAUCUAUGUGCACAAGCAAGACAGCUUUAGGAGCAGAUCAAGGUGUGUUCCAGUUUUUCUUCUCUUGAGACAAAGGCCCCAAUGGCUAUUUAACAACUCGUGCAGUGUUACCUUACAGAGGUGACGUUUAUAUGUAUUCCCCCAUUAGUCGUCUUGGUUCAUGAUGGUUGGAUUGGCUGCUUGUUCAGACAGAGGUGAUGCUGAUAUUUCACACACAAAUAUAUGGUGGCCUUGGCAUGAGUUAUUCUAAUGAUUAAGCUCAUAUUGCCUCAAGCAUAGGAAUUUGUUGGUUUAAUUAAGUCUACCACUUGAUACUCUUGACUACUUUUUGAAUGGCAAAAUUCAGCGCCUUCAGAUAUGCCACAAUGAGUAUCUUAUUGGGUGCUCGAGCUGGAUUGUCCAUUGUUCUCUCUUAUUGGUUAAGCCAACCACGUACAAAUUCAUCUCACAGUGAAAGCAAUGUUUCCCAAGCCGAGUUGUGAAAGUGCUUACUCUCUAAUAGCGCUUCUUGGUGCAAACAUAAUGACACACUACUUUACAUUCAUUCAUCAGUUGUGCAGCAGAGAUCAGAGGCUGAAUGGCAAGUUCAAUCAAUUAGCAGCAAAUGGAGACAUGUGCACAUCAAGACCCGAUGAUCCACAGCAACAGAUCGGCAGUGCGCAUGCAAAACGGGCUCGCACGGCGAUCAAAUGAACCCUUCCUUCAUGGUAGCAGGGCGUGCGUCAUCCCUGCAACAACAGGUCGGCGACCGUCAUCCCUGGAAAUGGAUCAGUGACGCGGCUAUCCAUCCCAUGCAACAAAAGAUAGAACUGCAGCAGCCUCCAUAAUAGCUGAUAUCAAAUCAUUGGCAUGCAAUUUUUCUUCUGUCUUUCAUUCAUGUCACUCGUAGUGCUAAUGAGGUGGCUCAUGUGCCGGCUUGAUCGGGCGAGCAAUCGGCUGAUUUGGUCUUCCGGCGAUGUAUCCCUGGUUGCAUCAAGGAAAUUGGAUACUCUGAUUUUUGAGUGAAUGAAUAGAGCGUUCACAUGCCUAGGAUAAAA
RNA transcript from Panicum virgatum (switchgrass), 2345 nucleotides. RefSeq lists it as uncharacterized. The transcript is spliced from 6 exons. NCBI's taxonomy places the organism in Eukaryota, Viridiplantae, Streptophyta, Magnoliopsida, Poales, Poaceae. The record is from RefSeq and is a predicted model, not a curated record.